RNAcentral lists this transfer RNA (66 nucleotides) under Glaphyrina caudata. RNAcentral's name for it is "tRNA-Tyr". Lineage: Eukaryota; Metazoa; Mollusca; Gastropoda; Neogastropoda; Fasciolariidae. The record is from RNAcentral.
UUAUUGGGAAGAUUUAACUUCGUAAGUAGAUCUACAGUCUAUUGCUUAUUUCUCAGCCACCAAAUA